RNAcentral lists this ribosomal RNA (746 nucleotides) under uncultured bacterium. Its description in RNAcentral is "bacterial SSU rRNA". It matches the Rfam family "Bacterial small subunit ribosomal RNA", at positions 33 to 773 of the family's 1533-position model. The record is from RNAcentral.
ACGCUAGCUACAGGCUUAACACAUGCAAGUCGAGGGGCAUCACGGUCCAGCAAUGGACCGGUGGCGACCGGCGCACGGGUGAGUAACACGUAUCCAACCUACCUUCUACCCGGGUAUAGGCUUUUGAAAGAAAGAUUAAUCCCCGAUGGUAUCACGAGAACUCCUGUUCUUUUGAUUAAAGAUUCAUCGGUAUUAGCUGGGAUGCGUUCCAUUAGAUCGUUGGCGGGGUAACGGCCCACCAAGUCUACGAUGGAUAGGGGUUCUGAGAGGAAGGUCCCCCACAUUGGAACUGAGACACGGUCCAAACUCCUACGGGAGGCAGCAGUGAGGAAUAUUGGUCAAUGGGCGGGAGCCUGAACCAGCCACGUAGCGUGAAGGAUGACUGCCCUAUGGGUUGUAAACUUCUUUUAUAUGGGAAUAACAGGCUGUACGCGUACAGUUCUGCAUGUACCAUACGAAUAAGGAUCGGCUAACUCCGUGCCAGCAGCCGCGGUAAUACGGAGGAUCCGAGCGUUAUCCGGAUUUAUUGGGUUUAAAGGGUGCGUAGGCGGGAUGGCCAGUCAGUUGUGAAAAGUUGCGGCUCAACCGUAAUUGUGCAGUUGAAACUGUCAUUCUUGAGUAUAGUAAAGGUGGGUGGAAUUUGUGGUGUAGCGGUGAAAUGCUUAGAUAUCCCAAAGAACUCCGAUUGCGAAGGCAACUCACUGGGCUAUAACUGACGCUGAUGCACGAAGGUGUGGGUAUCAAAC